Molecule: ribosomal RNA, 1528 nt
Filed under: Klebsiella pneumoniae
Lineage: Bacteria; Pseudomonadati; Pseudomonadota; Gammaproteobacteria; Enterobacterales; Enterobacteriaceae
Description: bacterial SSU rRNA
Rfam family: Bacterial small subunit ribosomal RNA
Source: RNAcentral
AGAGUUUGAUCAUGGCUCAGAUUGAACGCUGGCGGCAGGCCUAACACAUGCAAGUCGAGCGGUAGCACAGAGAGCUUGCUCUCGGGUGACGAGCGGCGGACGGGUGAGUAAUGUCUGGGAAACUGCCUGAUGGAGGGGGAUAACUACUGGAAACGGUAGCUAAUACCGCAUAACGUCGCAAGACCAAAGUGGGGGACCUUCGGGCCUCAUGCCAUCAGAUGUGCCCAGAUGGGAUUAGCUAGUAGGUGGGGUAACGGCUCACCUAGGCGACGAUCCCUAGCUGGUCUGAGAGGAUGACCAGCCACACUGGAACUGAGACACGGUCCAGACUCCUACGGGAGGCAGCAGUGGGGAAUAUUGCACAAUGGGCGCAAGCCUGAUGCAGCCAUGCCGCGUGUGUGAAGAAGGCCUUCGGGUUGUAAAGCACUUUCAGCGGGGAGGAAGGCGAUAAGGUUAAUAACCUUGGCGAUUGACGUUACCCGCAGAAGAAGCACCGGCUAACUCCGUGCCAGCAGCCGCGGUAAUACGGAGGGUGCAAGCGUUAAUCGGAAUUACUGGGCGUAAAGCGCACGCAGGCGGUCUGUCAAGUCGGAUGUGAAAUCCCCGGGCUCAACCUGGGAACUGCAUUCGAAACUGGCAGGCUAGAGUCUUGUAGAGGGGGGUAGAAUUCCAGGUGUAGCGGUGAAAUGCGUAGAGAUCUGGAGGAAUACCGGUGGCGAAGGCGGCCCCCUGGACAAAGACUGACGCUCAGGUGCGAAAGCGUGGGGAGCAAACAGGAUUAGAUACCCUGGUAGUCCACGCCGUAAACGAUGUCGAUUUGGAGGUUGUGCCCUUGAGGCGUGGCUUCCGGAGCUAACGCGUUAAAUCGACCGCCUGGGGAGUACGGCCGCAAGGUUAAAACUCAAAUGAAUUGACGGGGGCCCGCACAAGCGGUGGAGCAUGUGGUUUAAUUCGAUGCAACGCGAAGAACCUUACCUGGUCUUGACAUCCACAGAACUUAGCAGAGAUGCUUUGGUGCCUUCGGGAACUGUGAGACAGGUGCUGCAUGGCUGUCGUCAGCUCGUGUUGUGAAAUGUUGGGUUAAGUCCCGCAACGAGCGCAACCCUUAUCCUUUGUUGCCAGCGGUCCGGCCGGGAACUCAAAGGAGACUGCCAGUGAUAAACUGGAGGAAGGUGGGGAUGACGUCAAGUCAUCAUGGCCCUUACGACCAGGGCUACACACGUGCUACAAUGGCAUAUACAAAGAGAAGCGACCUCGCGAGAGCAAGCGGACCUCAUAAAGUAUGUCGUAGUCCGGAUUGGAGUCUGCAACUCGACUCCAUGAAGUCGGAAUCGCUAGUAAUCGUAGAUCAGAAUGCUACGGUGAAUACGUUCCCGGGCCUUGUACACACCGCCCGUCACACCAUGGGAGUGGGUUGCAAAAGAAGUAGGUAGCUUAACCUUCGGGAGGGCGCUUACCACUUUGUGAUUCAUGACUGGGGUGAAGUCGUAACAAGGUAACCGUAGGGGAACCUGCGGUUGGAUCACCU